AAAAAAAAAAAAAAAAAAAAACAUGAUUGUGCUGAAUUAAUACAUAAACACAAAUAAAAAUGAACUACAGAAAACAGAGACAUUCUAAAAUAUGAAAAUUAACUAACAGCAUCAUAGUCCAACCACAAUUUUCAACAACUUGUCACCAUUACCAUCUGCCCCAAAAUAUCCAAUAAAAGCACACAGAGAAAGGGGGAAAACAAAUUCAGGGUUUUCCUGUUUCACAUGUUCUGAUUUCCAUUUACAAAAAAACAAACAACCUUCUAAAUAACCAGUGUCAGACGCUUGUCCAAUCCAACUGCUGGCAAUCCAAUUAUCCCCCAAACUAUGUACAAAAGAUAUGCAUUAACACUCUAGAGGUCCUAACCCUAAACGACAUCGUUGUGUUUAGAACAGAAAACACUUACCUGAAGAAGAAGACGAUGAAAUGAAACUCUCAAAGAGCUCUCCAUCUUGGGCUAGGCACCGGCAAUGUCGGAGAUACCGGAAACGAAGAUGGUGAGAGCAACAGACCAGGGGAAAACAAAGGGUGCGGUGAUCGCGGCGAGUUCAGGCACCCAAACGGUGGCGGUGACGAUGGCAACUGGAACUGUGGCUGUGACGCUAACAUACCUGAUGUCAGCGAUGGAAGUAUCCCCUGCUGCAGCGGUGUAAAUUGUUGUUGAUUCUGGUGCAGCUGCGGCCGUUGAGGAGGUAGAUUAUUCCAUCGAGGAGAAACCAGCGGCGCUAGCGGCGAGAAUCCCAAAAACUGAUUAUUAGAAUCGAUGCCAGAGAUCGAGUUCUGCAGGAGGCGCAUGUAAGCAGAAACCGGCGACUCGGCCGCCGCGUGGACCCCCGGAAACGGCGGUAACGGUGACAGAGGAGCUGACGGCCGUUGGAUAAAAUUGUUAGUCGAUGUGGCGGUAGGCAUGGGAGGGUUUACGGAGGCGUUGAGAGGUGGCGGCGGAGGUUGAUGAGAAGGAGGGAUGGCGCUGUUUAUCAAGGGAGGCGGGCGGUUGCUAACGUGCGCGAGGGGAGGAGGGCGGAUACGCUGCAAGCGAGUGCUUGGAGGCUUGGGUGGGUGAAUAGGAGGAGGAGUAGAAAACCUCUCGUGGGCAGGAGAUCCGGUGAGUUUCUGAACAACGUCCCUGAAAUCAUUCUUGUUGAUAUUGUAAACCGGCGGCUGAUGCUGCUGCUGCUGCGCCUGCAGAUUCUGCUGCUGUGAAGCCUGUGAUUGCGUUUGCGAUUGAGAUGAAGUAUUGGAAUUAAUAUUAUUGUUAUUAAAGGUGUGAUGAUCAAAAGGAGGUGGAGGCUUCUUGGUGAUGAUGGGUUUAGAGAUCUUAUGGGAAAGCUUAUUGAGGUUUUUGAGGUACUGAUCUCUGGUGCUACUAACGGUGGUGUUACUGCUGCUGCUACCACUGGUGAUGGUAGAAUCACCAGAGGAUUGACAGCUUUUAUCCAUUACAGAAACAAAACCCCCUCUCUCUCUCUCUCUUUCUCUGUCUCUCUCUCUCAAAGUUUUCAACUUUCAAAACCCUCCCUUUCUCUUUUGUCUCUGUGUCUGUCUCCAAGGCAGAGAGUCUUUUUCGUAUGCCCCAGCCUUCUCUUCUUCCUCUGAGUGAUGGGUGUGAGCUUUCUUUACUCUCAGACUUUCCACAUUGCCGUGAUCCUCAUCACCGCCUUCUAUCAUCAUAGGUCCUAGAUUGCACUGACUUAAACGCAUGAGCCCUUUUUCAUUUUUACUCAUUAAUAUGGCCGUUUAAGCCUCUGGGAAUUCAAAGUACAAAAGCAUAACAAAAAACAGUAAAACAAAAGAAACAGAAGGAAAAGCUAUGGCAUGUGAUAAAGUCUCUGAUGUUUCAAACAUGACUGUUUUGCUUCAAAACGACACUCUCCCAUGUGAUUCUCUCUGGAUUCCCACUUCUUCUGCCAUCGUUCAUGGUGCAAAAUCUAUGGUUAACUUUGAGAAUGGUGGUGGUGAAGAGGACACCAUGGAUACGCCAUUCUUCCAGGGUCUUGUUAAAGAAGAAAAUGGCGAUGAGGAUUUUGAUGUGUGCCUUAACCCACCUGGGAAGAAAAGGAGGCUCACAGCUGGUCAAGUUCAAUUUCUUGAAAGAAACUUUGAUGUAGAAAAUAAGCUUGAUCCAGAGAGAAAGAUACAACUUGCUAAGGAACUUGGGUUACAGCCUCGCCAAGUUGCAAUAUGGUUUCAAAAUCGGCGGGCUCGGUUUAAGAACAAACAGCUGGAAAAGGACUAUGAUUCUUUGAAAACCAGCUACGAUAGGCUCAAGGGUGAUUAUGACAAUCUCCUAAAGGAGAAAGAGAAUUUGAAAAAUGAGCUUGUUUCCCUGAAAGCGAAAUUGCUGGCUCGAGAGAAAGGGAUUGGAAAUUUAGAACCAGUUGAAGCCAUCAAUUCACCUAAUGUAGAACUUCAAAACGCAGUUCCUAAAACUGUUUCUGAAGUGGUUUCCAAUGCACCAUUGGUGAUACCCAAACAGGAAGAGGCAACUUCAGCUAAAAGUGAUGUGUUGGAUUCGGAUAGCCCGCAUUCAUUUUUGGAGCCUGGUGAUUCUUCUCAUGUUUUUGAGCCAGACCAAUCAGAUUUCUCACAAGAUGAAGAAGAUGAUCUUAGCAGAAGCUUUUUGCCCACACCAUACUUCCCAAAACUCUACCAUGAUCCGCCUGCAAAUUCAUGUAGUUUUGAAUUCCCAGUGGAAGAUCAACCAUUUUGGUCCUAUACUUACUGAGUUCAUCUCAUGUCAUAUUGCCUGCGAAUUCAAAUCAAGGUUCUCUGUUGUAAUUAUAUAUAUCUUCAAAAGUGCUCGCCUUUACCAUAUCCUGUGCUUGGCUUGUGACUCUUUCCACAAGACUUAUCCUGCGUGGUAGAAGCAGCUUUUAAAUGUGAUCAGACUUCAUUUACGUCCACAUUUGAGAUGCUUCUUUUGAAAAUGGGGUCUUCAAUCUGCUCAAAUCUGUGGCAACAAGCAAGCACAUAAGAGGGUC
This 2982-nucleotide unclassified non-coding RNA is filed under the name Hevea brasiliensis (rubber tree). Lineage: Eukaryota; Viridiplantae; Streptophyta; Magnoliopsida; Malpighiales; Euphorbiaceae. The record is from RNAcentral.